CCUACGGGCGGCAGCAGUCGAGAAUCAUUCACAAUGGGGGAAACCCUGAUGGUGCGACGCCGCGUGGGGGAAUGCAGGUCUUCGGAUUGUAAACCCCUGUCAUGUGGGAGCAAAUUAAAAAGAUAGUACCACAAGAGGAAGAGCCGGCUAACUCUGUGCCAGCAGCCGCGGUACUACAGAGGUCUCAAGCGUUGUUCGGAAUCACUGGGCGUAAAGCGUGCGUAGGCUGUUUCGUAAGUCGUGUGUGAAAGGCGCGGGCUCAACCCGCGGACGGCACAUGAUACUGCGAGACUAGAGUAAUGGAGGGGGAACCGGAAUUCGCGGUGUAGCAGUGAAAUGCGUAGAUAGCGAGAGGAACACUCGUGGCGAAGGCGGGUUCCUGGACAUUAACUGACGCUGAGGCACGAAGGCCAGGGGAGCGAAAGGGAUUAGAUACCCUUGUAGUC
Molecule: ribosomal RNA, 446 nt
Filed under: uncultured bacterium
Lineage: Bacteria
Description: partial 16S ribosomal RNA
Rfam family: Bacterial small subunit ribosomal RNA
Source: RNAcentral